AUCAUACCUGAGUAACCUCCCACACAUUUCCUCCCCUUAGCCUGACUCAUAAUCCCCUUAUACAGCACACAAAUUCCCCAAGUUUCUGGAUGUACCCCUAAACCUAGGGGUACCCCUUUUUGUUACAUCCCUGGUAACCCUGACAUGGGUGAGAGACAUAUCCAAAAAUCACCCAGAUCGAACCAGGGGUUUGGGAAAUCUAUG
Molecule: non-coding RNA, 204 nt
Organism: Pelobates cultripes (western spadefoot toad)
Lineage: Eukaryota; Metazoa; Chordata; Amphibia; Anura; Pelobatidae
Source: the annotation of a GenBank genome assembly